CAGCCGCCGCGGUAAUACGGAGGGGGCUAGCGUUAUUCGGAAUUACUGGGCGUAAAGCGCACGUAGGCGGAUCAGAAAGUCAGAGGUGAAAUCCCAGGGCUCAACCUUGGAACUGCCUUUGAAACUCCUGAUCUUGAGGUCGAGAGAGGUGAGUGGAAUUCCGAGUGUAGAGGUGAAAUUCGUAGAUAUUCGGAGGAACACCAGUGGCGAAGGCGGCUCACUGGCUCGAUACUGACGCUGAGGUGCGAAAGCGUGGGGAGCAAACAGGAUUAGAUACCCCCGUAGUCCCUGUCUCUUAUAA
This 301-nucleotide ribosomal RNA is filed under the name uncultured bacterium. Its description in RNAcentral is "partial 16S ribosomal RNA". It matches the Rfam family "Bacterial small subunit ribosomal RNA", at positions 509 to 809 of the family's 1533-position model. The record is from RNAcentral.